AAGACUAUAGACCUGCGGAGUACCUGCGGAGGGAUCAUUACUGAGUUUUAUACUCUAUCACCUCUGUGAACUUAUCUGUUGCUUUGGCAGGGAGCCAGCUUCAAGGCUGCUAAUUGUCAGGAGAGGGCCUUUUUUGGCUACUACCCUGUGCCCUGCCAAAGGUGUUUUAAAUCAUAUUUUUUAGUGACUUUUCUGAUAAUCUUAUAAUAAAUAUAAACUUUCAGCAACGGAUCUCUAGAU
RNAcentral lists this unclassified non-coding RNA (240 nucleotides) under soil metagenome. RNAcentral's name for it is "partial contains 5.8S ribosomal RNA, internal transcribed spacer 2, and large subunit ribosomal RNA". The record is from RNAcentral.